GAGGCGAACCGGGGGAACUGAAACAUCUAAGUACCCCGAGGAAAAGAAAUCAACCGAGAUUCCGAAAGUAGCGGCGAGCGAAAUUGGACUAGCCCUUAAGCUUUACACGCGUUAGACGAACGGUCUGGAAAGUCCGACGAUACAGGGUGAUAGUCCCGUAGUUGACGACGUGUGUUCAGUGAAAUCGAGUAGGGCGGGACACGUGAUAUCCUGUCUGAAUAUGGGGGGACCAUCCUCCAAGGCUAAAUACUACUGACUGACCGAUAGUGAACCAGUACCGUGAGGGAAAGGCGAAAAGAACCCCUGUGAGGGGAGUGAAAUAGAACCUGAAACCGUGUACGUACAAGCAGUAGGAGCAGGCUUUGUCCUGUGACUGCGUACCUUUUGUAUAAUGGGUCAGCGACUUAUAUUCAGUGGCAAGGUUAACCAUCUAGGGGAGCCGUAGGGAAACCGAGUCUUAACUGGGCGUUCAGUCUCUGGAUAUAGACCCGAAACCAGGUGAUCUAGCCAUGGGCAGGUUGAAGGUUGAGUAACAUCAACUGGAGGACCGAACCGACUAAUGUUGAAAAAUUAGCGGAUGACUUGUGGCUAGGGGUGAAAGGCCAAUCAAACCUGGAGAUAGCUGGUUCUCCCCGAAAGCUAUUUAGGUAGCGCCUCGGACGAAUACUACUGGGGGUAGAGCACUGUUAAGGCUAGGGGGUCAUCCCGACUUACCAACCCUUUGCAAACUCCGAAUACCAGUAAGUACUAUCCGGGAGACACACGGCGGGUGCUAACGUCCGUCGUGGAGAGGGAAACAACCCAGACCGCCAGCUAAGGUCCCAAAUUACUACUAAGUGGGAAACGAUGUGGGAAGGCUCAGACAGCCAGGAUGUUGGCUUAGAAGCAGCCAUCAUUUAAAGAAAGCGUAAUAGCUCACUGGUCGAGUCGGCCUGCGCGGAAGAUGUAACGGGGCUAAGUAGUAAACCGAAGCUGCGGCAAUACUCUUUGAGUAUUGGGUAGGGGAGCGUUCUGUAAGCGGUUGAAGGUGUGUGGUAACGCAUGCUGGACGUAUCAGAAGUGCGAAUGCUGACAUGAGUAACGAUAAAGGGGGUGAAAAACCUCCUCGCCGGAAGACCAAGGGUUCCUGUCCAACGUUAAUCGGGGCAGGGUAAGUCGACCCCUAAGGCGAGGCCGAAAGGCGUAGUCGAUGGGAAACGGGUUAAUAUUCCCGUACUUCUUACAAUUGCGAUGGGGGGACGGAGAAGGCUAGGUGGGCCUGGCGACGGUUGUCCAGGUUCAAGUGCGUAGGCUUAAGAGUUAGGUAAAUCCGGCUCUUUCUAAGGCUGAGACACGACGUCGAGCACCUACGGGUGUGAAGUCAUUGAUGCCAUGCUUCCAGGAAAAGCCUCUAAGCUUCAGAUUGUAAGGAAUCGUACCCCAAACCGACACAGGUGGUCGGGUAGAGAAUACCAAGGCGCUUGAGAGAACUCGGGUGAAGGAACUAGGCAAAAUGGUACCGUAACUUCGGGAGAAGGUACGCUCUCGACGGUGAAGUCCCUCGCGGAUGGAGCUGACGAGAGUCGCAGAUACCAGGUGGCUGCAACUGUUUAUUAAAAACACAGCACUGUGCAAAAUCGUAAGAUGACGUAUACGGUGUGACGCCUGCCCGGUGCCGGAAGGUUAAUUGAUGGGGUUAGACUUCGGUCGAAGCUCUUGAUCGAAGCCCCGGUAAACGGCGGCCGUAACUAUAACGGUCCUAAGGUAGCGAAAUUCCUUGUCGGGUAAGUUCCGACCUGCACGAAUGGCGUAAUGAUGGCCACGCUGUCUCCACCCGAGACUCAGUGAAAUUGAAAUCGCUGUGAAGAUGCAGUGUACCCGCGGCUAGACGGAAAGACCCCGUGAACCUUUACUACAGCUUGGCACUGAACAUUGACCCUACAUGUGUAGGAUAGGUGGGAGGCUUUGAAGCACGUACGCCAGUAUGUGUGGAGCCGUCCUUGAAAUACCACCCUUGUAGUGUUGAUGUUCUAACGUCGACCCCUAAUCGGGGUUGCGGACAGUGCCUGGUGGGUAGUUUGACUGGGGCGNUAUCGGGGUUACGGACAGUGCCUGGUGGGUAGUUUGACUGGGGCGGUCUCCUCCCAAAGAGUAACGGAGGAGCACGAAGGUGGGCUAAUCACGGUUGGACAUCGUGAGGUUAGUGCAAUGGCAUAAGCCCGCUUGACUGCGAGAAUGACAAUUCGAGCAGGUGCGAAAGCAGGUCAUAGUGAUCCGGUGGUUCUGAAUGGAAGGGCCAUNGGUCUCCUCCCAAAGAGUAACGGAGGAGCACGAAGGUGGGCUAAUCACGGUUGGACAUCGUGAGGUUAGUGCAAUGGCAUAAGCCCGCUUGACUGCGAGAAUGACAAUUCGAGCAGGUGCGAAAGCAGGUCAUAGUGAUCCGGUGGUUCUGAAUGGAAGGGCCAUCGCUCAACGGAUAAAAGGUACUCCGGGGAUAACAGGCUGAUACCGCCCAAGAGUUCAUAUCGACGGCGGUGUUUGGCACCUCGAUGUCGGCUCAUCACAUCCUGGGGCUGAAGUCGGUCCCAAGGGUAUGGCUGUUCGCCAUUUAAAGUGGUACGCGAGCUGGGUUUAGAACGUCGUGAGACAGUUCGGUCCCUAUCUGCCGUGGGCGUUGGAAGAUUGAAGGGGGCUGCUCCUAGUACGAGAGGACCGGAGUGGACGAACCUCUGGUGUUCGGGUUGUGUCGCCAGACGCAUUGCCCGGUAGCUAAGUUCGGAAUCGAUAACCGCUGAAAGCAUCUAAGCGGGAAGCGAGCCCUGAGAUGAGUCUUCCCUGAUACUUUAAGUAUCCUAAAGGGUUGUCGGAGACUACGACGUUGAUAGGUCAGGUGUGUAAGUGCUGUGAGGCAUUGAGCUAACUGAUACUAAUUGCCCGUGAGGCUUAACCAU
This 2930-nucleotide ribosomal RNA is filed under the name Vibrio parahaemolyticus. RNAcentral's name for it is "partial 23S ribosomal RNA". It matches the Rfam family "Bacterial large subunit ribosomal RNA". The record is from RNAcentral. Lineage: Bacteria; Pseudomonadati; Pseudomonadota; Gammaproteobacteria; Vibrionales; Vibrionaceae.